RNAcentral lists this ribosomal RNA (175 nucleotides) under uncultured Arthrobacter sp. RNAcentral's name for it is "partial 16S ribosomal RNA". It matches the Rfam family "Bacterial small subunit ribosomal RNA", at positions 338 to 525 of the family's 1533-position model. Lineage: Bacteria; Bacillati; Actinomycetota; Actinomycetes; Micrococcales; Micrococcaceae. The record is from RNAcentral.
UCUACGGGAGGCAGCAGUGGGGAAUAUUGCACAAUGGGCGCAAGCCUGAUGCAGCGACGCCGCGUGAGGGAUGACGGCCUUCGGGUUGUAAACCUCUUUCAGUAGGGACGAAGCGCAAGUGACGGUACCUGCAGAAGAAGCGCCGGCUAACUACGUGCCAGCAGCCGCGGUAAUA